UAAAACAUCAUCUUUACCGGUUUUACUUAUUACAGAGAUGGGUCAACUCAAUGGGGCCAAUGACGCGAGAGAAGUGAAGCAUGAGGCAACACUGCCUUGUGGCUUCCAUUUUAUGUCACUGCGAAAACCUUCCUGAAUAUAACAGGAACGUGGAUGAUUCUCAACACUUGCAGGCAGAACACUUACGUUACAGAAUCCAGUGCAGUUCGUUAGACGUUGGCUGAACACGACCACUGGAACAUAAAUUCUCCUUGGAUAUCGAAGACCCAGAGGAGAAAAAAAAAAGAACUUAAGUAUGCAGAAAGCUUGUGAAUAUUCUUCAAAGGUAACAUCUGACAUGAUGCUCUCAUACAUCUAAUCUGGAGCAAGAGUUUUAAAUCAAAGACCAACAGGCAGGACUCUGUAAGAAACACGAGUCACUCACAUUUUCUGAACACACUGAAAAGCACGUGAAAUGAGAACAAGACGGUGACAUUUGCAUCCCUAUGCAAACACCAACACCUCCACAUGAAUCUGUAUCAGAGACUCUACAAACACAGAAACACAUGAUGUAACCUGGGCCCAUAGACAGCAAACACAUGCUUGAGACGGUCUCUAGACAACACAAACACCAUAAACGUCUGAAGACUUUCUACGACUGCUCCUGACACACAACACAGACAGAUACUGAUCAAAGUACAGAUUUACAAAACCACACUGUAUCAAGAUGACACGGGCCCUACGUGAUCUAUGGGGAGGAAGAGGAAGAAAGGCACUGAGGGGGGUGCAAUACAGAUGCAUAUACAGAGAGAUAGAAGGCAGUCAACGCAUGCGCUGGUGUGAACACUUACCUACCUACAUUUGAAUUUCAAUGGUUCCAAGUUCUUCAGGUCACAUUCAUGGAAACUCCAAAGAAUGGAGAUCUGGAGAGAAGAUCUCAAGUUGAGGAACCUUUUUCCUCCUGAGUUUUAAGUUUCAUGUUUAAAACACUGGUAUAGACUAUAGGUGCACAAAAGCAGGCUGAAACACCAAUAACUCAGUUGUACUAAUCUAUUACUAAAAACAGGUUUCUUAGGUUUAUAACAUGUUUAGCUUAUUCCUAAGUCUCCUGCAGACAAUACUCAAAGAUUCUUAACCCUACUGGUGAGACUUAAAGACGAGAGUUUAUCAAAAGGAAACACCCACUCUAUUAGUAUUGUGACGGCCUAUACAUCGGUGUUGUGUCUAUGGUAUUUCCGUUAGUCAUAGAAUACAGGUCGGGUAUUGCAUUCGCACUCUAAGCUAAGGUAAAUGAGCAGCACAUGCUGUGCUGUGAAAAGCAGAAGGCAGAAGUCUCGAUGAAAUGUUCUAUUACCAACUUGUUGAAAAGCCAAGGGAACAAACGUAACAGACUCUGAAGAAAACCACCCCUGACUUGAGGGGACUGCACUCCCCAUACUAGGAACACUAAAAAUCAGAAACGCUUUUGGUGAUGUAGCAUUUCAGGUCUCAGGCUGGAUUUAGCUCAUUACUGCUGAAAUGAAAGCUGAUGGAGACACAGCCACUAAGAGGGUGAGUUACUUGGCUACACAAGUGCCCCCCUGUGCGAGUAAGGACUCCGCUCCACUUUAUGGAUUACCAGGAACAUGGGGAAGAAAGUGUUAUUCUAAACCCAGUGCCAAGGGUAUUAAAAACUACAGUUAAUGUCUUAAAAACCAACCUCCACUCCGUUAUUUUAAGAGGUUUUUAAAAAACGAAACACACAUAUGUGUUUCACAUUCAGAAUGCCCCAUUAAUUCCCAAGCUAUGUAUUUCAGUGACACAUGGGAAGUUCAGAAAGACAGAACGCUAAUCAAGAGGCUUUCCUCUUGAGAAAAUUGGGAGGUUAACCAACAUACUCAUGCUAAAAGUUAAUAAAGGUUAAUGAAAUAAAAAGAGAAUUCAGAGUUCUUCCAUGGUUUUGAAAAUAAAGUAAUCUCAACACAAUAUGCUUUGUCAUUCAUGAAAGUUCUAAACGUGGAGGACACUGCCACUCACAGGAUAGGAAUCUACAGCAGCAACCCCAGGGACAGGCUUAUAACAGGAAGUGGUCAGCAUCCCAUUGUUCAAUUGGGUCAUCCCAUUGGUCAGUCCAAGUUGUGUCCCCAAUCCAGUAAGUGGCAACUGUCUCUUCAUGUACUAGCCAAUUUUUCUCAGUAUCAUCUUUAGGUUAAAUUACUGAGUGCAAACAAACUCUAGUUCUAUGGGCAUGUUUACUUUGAUUUUAAAAGUAUGUUCUCAUCUCAGAAACUGGCUAUUAAGGUUAAAACUCUUUUCAGAGCAGCGUUAAUAGAUGUGACAUAAAAAAACCCCUCUUAUUAAUAAAAAUAAUCAACAGUUCUUUCCUGCUUUUGGCACUGCUAAACUAACUUCAGGUUUUGUUUAGCAAACUAAGCUACAUUCCAAGUUAAUGUAUAUCUUAGCAUGAAUAGUUUACAAACAAGGGUAUAAACUAUUUAGUUUUCAUUUUCGUAAGAAACAGAUAUUGCCUUUUAAAAGUAUUUUAUUCAUUAUCCUAGAUAAUGUAGAUAUUACACUUUAAAAUUAGAUAUUCAAUCCAUUUACCUGCAAACUUCAUUUUCUUUUAUUAUUACAUAAUAACACUCUAUUAUCUAAACUUACCAUAUUUUCUUUAUUUAGUCUUUAGUAUUUAGGUUGAGGGACAGCUCGGUUGUUACCAGUUUUUGGUUAUUAUAAAUAGAGUGGUAAUGAACAUGGUUGAGAAAGUGUCUCCGUGACAGGAUGAAACAACCUUUCCAUAUAUGCUCAAGAGUGGUAUGGCUGGUACUAUUGAUUUGCAUUGCUCUGAUGGCUAAGAAUGUUGCCCAUUUAAGUGUUUAGCCAUUUGAGUUUCUUUUUUUGACAAUUCUGCUUACGUAUGUAGCCCAUUUUUUUAGAUUGGUUAUCUGAUAUCUUGCUAUGUAGUUUUUUGUUCUUUUUUUUUUUUGUAGUUCUUUAUGUAUGUUGGAUAUUAGCCUUCUAUUGGAUACAUAGUCCUAUUGGAUAUGUAUUGGUGAAAAUGCUGUCCCAUUUUUCAGGUUGCUGCUUUGUUGAUAUGAUAAUGUCCGUCACUAGGUGGAGCAUCUCAUUUCAGAAGGCUCCGUUUAUUAACUGUUGACCUUAGCACCUGUUUUAAUGCUCUUCUGUUCAGAAAUGCUUUCCCUGUACCAACACAUUCAAGGUUCUUCUCCACUUCUCUUCUAUCAGGCUCAUUGCAUCUGGCUUUAUGUUGAGAUCUUUGAUCCACUGGGACUUGAGUUUUGUUCAAGGCGAUAAGUAUGGUAUUCUACAUGCAGACACCCAAUGUGACCAACACCACAUUUUUUUAUUUAUUGUGUAUUUCUGGUUUCUUUAUAAAAAAUAAGGCAUCCAUACAUGUCUGGAUUCAUGUCUGGAUCUGCUGUUCAAUUCCACUGAUCAACAUGUCUAUUUUUAUAUUAAUGUCACACUGUUUCUAUUACUGUAGCUCUGUAGUACAACUUAAUAUCCAGGGGAGUGACUUCCAGGAGAGUGAAACAAAUUUUCAGGAUUGUUUUAGCGAUCCUUCUUAUUUUUGUUUGUGCAUCCAUACAAAGCUGAAUAAUUGUCCUUCCAAGAUCUGUAAGGAAAUGUCUUAGAAUUUUGAUGGGAAUGGAAGUAAAUCUGAAGAUUGCUUCUGAUAGGGUGGUCAUUUGUCUUCUAUUAAUCCUACCCAUCCAUGACUAUGGGAGGCCUUUCCAUCUUCUGAUAUCUUCAAUUUCUUUCUCCAAUGUUUUGAAAGUUUUGUCAUAGAAGUCUUUCACUUGCUUGCCUAGAAUCAUUCCAAGACGUUUUGUAUUAUUUGAGGCUAUUUGUGAAAGGUUGCUGUUUCCCAAGAUUUCCUUCUCAGUCUGUUUGUCAUUUGUCUACAGUAAGGGUUCUCAUUUUCUUUGCUUUUCUUUCUUUCUUUCUUGAGUUAAUUUUGCAUUCAACCACCCUGAUCAACGUGCUUAUCAGCAUUAGUUUUCCAGUGGGAUUUUUAGGGUUGUUUAUAUAUACAAUCCUAUUAUUUGCACAUAAAGAUAAUUUUGACUUCUUCCUUCCCAGUUUGUAUCCCCUGCUCUCUUUCAGUAGUUGUACUGCUUUAACUAAAACUUCAAGUAUUCCACUGACUAGUACAGAGAAAGUAGACAGCCUCAAGUUGCUCAUGAUUUUACUGGAACUACUGUGAGUUUAUCUCCUUUGAACUUCAUGUUGGUCAUUAUCUAUGGGCUGGUUGUAAACUUCCUUUAUUAUGUCGAUGUAUGGCCCUUGUAUAAAAGUCUCCAGGAAUUUUAUCAUCGAGUAAAGAUUUUAAUCCAAGGCCUUUCUGAUGAAAUGAUCAGGUGACUUUUGUCUGUUUAUACGGUAGAUUACGUUUAUAGAUUUACCUACAUUCAUCUGUGGAAUGAAGCCUAGUUGAUCAUGGUAGAUGUUAAUUUUGGCAUACCUUUAAAUUCAAUUUGCAAGCAUUUUGUUAAGAAAUUUUGCGUCUGUGUCCAUAAGGGAAAUUGGUCUGUAAUUUCCUUUAUUGGGUCUAUGGUUUGUUAUCAGAAUAACUGAAGCCUCAUUAAACAAGCUGGGCAAUGCGGCUUAUGAGCCACUCUGUGCAACAACUUAAAAUAUUGGUAUUGAUUUCCCUUUCAAAGUAUGGAAGAAUAUGCACUAAAACCAUCAGGCCCUGAGCUUACUUUUGUUGGAAGACUGCUAAUUGCUACUUCUAAUUCAUGAGCAGUUAUAGGUCUGUUUAAACUACUUAUCCAAUCAAGAUUCAACUUUGGUAAGAGGUAUGUACAGAGGAAAUUACCCAUUUUGUUUAGAUUUUCCAGUUUGGUCUUUGAAGUAUGUCCUUAUGAUUCUCUGGAUUUCCUUGGUGUCUGUUGUUACCUUUUUAUUGCUAGUUUUGUUAAUUUGGCUAUUUUCUUUCCACCUUCCACUUAAUUUGAAUAAGGGUUUGUCAAUAUUACUGAUUUCCUCAAAGAAUCAAAUCUUUGUUUUAUUGAUUUUUUUUGUUGUUACUUCUAUUUAUUUCAGAACUGAGUUUGAUAUGGUUUAUUGAUAUUUACUCCUUUUGGGUGUGAUUUGUUCCUUUUGUUCUAAAGCUUUCAUGUGUUCUGUUGAAGUUACUAGCAUGAGAUGUCUCCAUUUUUUUUUUUAAAAUUUAACCAUUUAAUGCUAUGACUUUUGCCACUUAGAAUUGUAUUCAUUGUGUCCCAUAAGUUUAGGUAUGUUGUUUAUUCAAUCUCAUCAAUUCUAGAAAGUUUUAAGUUUCUUUCUUAAUUUCUGUCUUAACCCAUUUUUUUUAUUUGAUUCAGUAGUGAGUUGUUCAGUCCCAUGAGUGUGUAAGCUUUCUGUUGUUUCUGUUAUGUCCAGCUCUAAUCCAUGGGAGUGGCGAUAGGAUGCAGAGUGUUAUUUCAAUCUUCUGUAUCUGUCCCGAGACUUGCUCUCUGUUCAAGUUUGUGGUCAAUACUGGACGUGUGGGGAAGGUGUAUUCUUUUGUGAUUGGGUGAAAUGUUCGGUACAGACCAAUUGUUAGCUCCAGCACUUCUGGUACUCCUCCAAGUCCAGCCCCUCUGCGGCAGAUCACCUGCUGUGCCCCCCCCUCCAAUCCUUAAUAUAUUGACUGGUCUUUACCCCUGCAGCUCUUAACAUUUUUUCUUUGUUUUGUAUGUUUAGUGUUUUGACUAUUAAGUGCUGAGGGUACUUUCUUUCUGGCCUACACUUGUUUUGUUUUCUUUAUGCUUAUUGUAUCUUCAUACGCAUCUCCUUGACUGAUUAGGGUAUUUUUCUUCUAUGAUUUUGCUAAAGAUCUUUUCUGUCCCUUUGACCAGUGUUGCUUUUCCUUCUUCUAUUCCAAUCACUUUUAGAUUUGUUCUUUUCAUUGUGUCCCAGAUUUCCUGGAUUUUUUUUUCCUGCCAGGUAUGUUUUAGAUUUAACAUUUUCUUUGACAAAGGUAUCCAUUUCUUCUAUUGUGUCUUCAAGGUCUGAGAGUCUCUCUUUGUUCUGCUGGUGAGGUUCCUGCUUGAUCCUAAAUUUUUCAUGUCCAGAUUUCCCUCAGUUUGGGUGAUCUUUAUUGAUACCAUUUCCACUUUCAGGUCUGGAACAAUUUUCUUCUAUUCCUUCCAAUGUGUGUUUUCAUAAAAUUUCUUUAAAGCAUUUUCCCAUUUCUUCUUUAAGGGCCUCUAUUGUAUCGUAAAGGCUACUUUAAGGUCUUUUAUUCUGCUUCAUCUAUGGUGCAAUACUCGGAGCCUGCUGUAGUUGGGGUGCUAGCUUCUAUUGUUCUGACUGUUAGUGCGUUUUUACAAUGGCAUCUAGGCAGCUGUGUUUGGAAGCAUUGUACUUGUAGGUGCUAAUAUCUGGUCUUAUCUUGGUUGGGCGGGUGUUCUGUUCCUUGGCUUCUGUUGUGGUCUCUGGUUCUUGUGAGGUGGCUGUGUGUUGCUUGGUAGGAAAUUCUUCUGGAAUCCUCAUAGGUAUGUUGAUUGGAGGUUCCUGAUUAAAACGAGUUUCUAGGUAUUGAAUGGUGAUACUUAGGAAUGAGGGUAUGCUAGGAGGUAAGGGAGUUCCCAGAACGCAGAUGUUCUACCAGAAUCUCCUCAGUCCUCUGGGAAUGGGGUCAGAAAAUAAGGACAGGCCACAGCAGAAAGUCUGCUACAGAGCUGGAUAUAAGAAUGGGUGACUAGAUUUGGAGGACUGUAGAGAUGUGAAGAUCUGGAGUUAGCCUACCUACUUUCCUCACCAAAUUGAACUGAGGGUUCCCAGGGAAUGUCUGUUGGAAUUAGGGACUGGAAUAAAGCAAUGAGUCAGGUGAAGGGAAAGAUCUGUACCAUCUACUGGAAAUGGGAAGCAACAGCAGGUACUCUACUGUAGAGGUAGAUGAGACUGGGGGAUGACACUUAGCAGGUGGGGAGGUGAAGAUCUCUAGUUAGCCUACCUGCUUCCUUGGGUGUAGUGGACCUUGGGUUCCCAGGAAAUGCCUCCUAGUGUUGGGAGCUGGGAUAAAACUGCACAUGUCGGAAGGAGGAUCUGUGUGAUCCACUGGACAUGUAUGUGCAGUGCUGUGCUUAGUUGGAGGUGAGCCAGGGGUCAGGUGCUAAUAUCUGGUCUUAUCAGCAAUGAGUGGAGAGGAGGGGAAGAUGUGUGUGACUCACUGAAGAGGGGUUGGAAGCAGGAGGCCAUAGCAGGUGGUCUGCUGCAGAGGGACUGGAUCUAAAGGAGCUGAGGGAGCUGUAAGGAGCUGCUGCUAGUCCUUCCACUUCCCUGGCCUGAGUGUGGAACAUCCAUUCAUCCCUAAGGAACUUUUUUUUUUUCGGAGCUGGGGACCGAACCCAGGGCUUUGCGCUUGCUAGGCAAGCGCUCUACCACUGAGCUAAAUCAAAUCCCCAACCCCAGGAACUUUUUUAAAAAAAGUUACUUAAUCCCACUUAUACAAUGAGUCUUAUAAUUAAAAGUGCAAUUUGGGAAUUCUCAGGUUUUUGUGAAUGGUGGUGGUGGAUUUUCAUGUGAAAAUCUUGGAAAUCACACCCAAAGGCCUUGAGUAAAUCACAUCUGAACUUGAGGCAAAUACAGAGAAAACAGAAAACAGGUUAGAGAUACAAAGCCACACAGCCUUUGUUCCUGUGUUGCCCUCAGAGGGCACAUGUGUAGCAUUAUAUUACAUAUGUGUGUAGCAUAUUACAUGUGUGUGCAGCAUUACAUUACAUAUGUGUGUAGCAUUACAUUACAGAUGUGUGCAGCAUAUUACAUGGGUGUGUAGCAUUACAUUACAGAUGUGUGCAGCAUUACAUUACAUAUGUAUACAGCAUUAUAUUACAUAUGUGUGUAGCAUCACAUUACAUAUGUGUGUAGCAUAUUACAUGUGUGUGCAUUACAUUACAUGUGUGUACAGCAUUAUAUUACAUAUGUGUGCAGCAUCACAUUACAUAUGUGUAUAGCAUUACAAUGUUAAAUAUCCAGCAAUAACUGCAGGAACACCUCAGAGGCUAGCAAUGCCAACAGUUAUUACUCUUGUACUGCAACGCCAAACUUUAAGUGUGAGGUUAUUGAAAUCACUGACAAAGUAGCUCAACCAUAGCAUUUUACUACGAUAAAAGUUUAAAAUCUCUGUACUCAGAAGUUGAUGUUAUAAUGGGUAAAGCCAACUUGACCACAUGGGAUUAAGAACAAAACAUCUGUAAAUAAAAAGGCAUUUGUAGUGGAACUUCAGGAAUUCUGUCUGAUUCAGCAAAGGGUUAAAAAAAUAUUCUUAUAUAAGAAGCAAAAAUCCAGAAUUCUUUAAACAUCAAAACCAACAGCUAGGAGGUAUUUAAUAAAGUGCAGUGGUUAGCAUAGCAUAAAGCAUAAAAUCCCAACAACUCAGCCACACAGGGCAAACUCCCCUCACUUCCACUUAACGCACUAGGACAUUUCAACCGACAACUGCGAUUUAAACGACGUGAACUUAAAGGUACGUGGCCCAUGUCUUUAUAAGCUUAGAAAAUGUUUAGAAUACAUUCAAUGUACUACACUGGAAUAUACAGUUUUACCUUUUGAGGGUUUUCUUUUCUGUCCUACAGAUUUUAUAUGUGUGUGUGUAUAUGUGUGUGUGUAUAUAUAUGUAUAUAUAGAAUGAAUAUAUUAAAUAAAUAUAUUUAAUUUAUAAUUUUAAUUUAAUGUUUUAAAUAUAUAUUUAAAAACUAGUAUGGAGAAAAUAAAUAGAAACACCACAUCAUCUUAAUUAAACUUUGAAAGUAAUGCCUUACACGAAUUUUUCUCAAAACCUGACAUUUAGGAAAUGCUCCCAUGGGCUAUGAUCAAUGAACACUAACACACAGGCAUAAACACAUCUUGGGGCAGAAUGUGUUUUAAUCAGUUAUCAUUUAGUAUUCAUUUUUUACUUUUAUUCUAAAUGUGAAGAAAGAGAAGCUAAGCCAAGUCACUGGAUUAGAUUCACUAAGGAAAAAAGUUUCACGAUAAAGGGAAAUUAUUUUAGGAGGGAGUGGGCAGAGGAAAGGUUUAUUUAUUACAAGUCCUAAUCGCAGCCCAUCACUGACUAAGGCAGCAACUGAAGCAGAGGCCAUGGAGGAGUGCUGCUUACUGCCUUGUUCAGCUUAAUUUUAUAUAAGACCCAGGCCCACAGAGGCCACCACCCACCGUGGACUGGGCCCUUCUUCAUUAAUUGUUAAUUAUGAUAAUGACCCACAGAUUUUCUACCAGCAAUUCUCACCAAAAUAUUUUCUCAGUUCUGGUUCCCUCUUCUAAAUGACUCUAGCUGGACUCCGGCUGAUAAAACCUAACAGGCACACUCUAAGAUCACUCCAGUUCACUGCUCUACACCACUGGGCUAUAACAGAUAUUACACAUAACCACUUCUACACACACAAUACUUGGAUUACAACAAGGAUGGUAAAUGUCUUCUUUUAAAAACAUAGAAUAACUGUGGCUAUUAUGAUUAAAGUUAUUUAAAACAGAAGAAAUUCUUUGUGCAUGGUAUUUUCUUUUAAUUAAUAAUUUUCCAUAUAAUAUAUUUCAUUUCCCCAAUCUCCUCCUAGAUCCCCCACCUCCCUACCCACCCAACGUUGUGUUCUUUUUCUCUCAAAAUGAAAGCUAAACGAAACCUACAGAAGCACAAGUAGUAGCUAAAAUUUCACGUGUCAUGAUCUGUGCGUUUUUAAGUGUGUGUGUGAGCGUGUGCAUGACCACUGUGCAGCAUGGGGUGAGAGGGCAUUUUUAGGAGUUGGUUCUCUCUUGCCACCUUUCGGAAUCCAGAGAUCAAGUGAGGUCGUCAGGCCUGCUAGCACAUACCUCCCUACCCACUGAGCAUUCUAGUCGGCCUGGCAACAAUCUUUAAAUCUGAGACAGAAAAUACUUCAGUCAAAUGAUUUAAGGACUAAGUUUAAUACUUAAAUUCAGUGACAAACCCUUUAAUAAAGCACCCAAGGAAUAAAGUUAUCUAUAUCAUAAGACGGCCCCCCUUCACCAAUGGCACUACUACAGAUUAGAGAAUGCUAGCGCUAGUGUUUACUGAAGGCAUACAGUCAAAUACAUGGCUGCUGGAUGUAUACGUUAAGGUCACAUGAAAAAGCCAAUGACUGUCUGUCUUUAUUUUAUAGCACAGCUUAUGUUUAUGAAAUUCAGUUUUAUUGCUUAUCACCAUUUAGAACUGUGCUUUAAAGUUGUAACAACCCUUCCCUUCUAUUUGUGUUUUUCUAACACAAGUGUAUUAAGAAAAAUAUUAAGCCAGUCAUGGUGGUGCGCACCAUUAAUCAUAGUACCAGGGAGGAAGAAGCAGUGAUCUCUGUGAGUUUGAGGGCAGUAUGGUCCAUAUAGAAAGUUCUGGGCCAUUUAGGGCUACACAGUGAGACCCUGUAUCAAAACUGUCCAACUAACCAACUGAAAAAUAUUAACCCUUUAAGUAGAGUUUCUAUUAGUUAUUGAUUGAACAUGCCACUUGUAACUGACAGUGGUGACCAUGAAUGGACAGGUUCCCACACAAGGUGUUAUCCUGAUCUCUAAGUGAUUUGCUUAAGGAUAAAUGUUUGUGGUUUCCAGGUAUACAUAUAUAGACUUACUAAGUCUGUGGAUAACAUGGGAAAUGUCACUUGUUUUCAGUGUCCUUUCCUGCUCUAUCUGGAUGCGGAAUACCUACUAAUAGAAGAAUAAAGAAUUUAUAGUGUUUCUAACUUACAGAAUGAAGGGCUGCAUUUGGACAGUUUUCUUCCCACUACUGGCUUUAUUAAUAAAAACUUUAGGUAAUAAUAAAGUAUCUAGUACCUGGAUACUAUAUAUCAAAGGAACUAUGGAAUGGAUGAUGGUAUGGAAGUGACAUGGGUUCAGGAGGACCUUGACGUUUUAGUUUUUGCCCAGGCCAGUGAUGUGCAGCAUGUCUCUUGGGAUGCUGGGCAUGAGAAGCAGUAGGCCACAGUCCUCCACCAGCUCUGUGCUCAUGGUUUAAAUAAGUGGAACUCUGAGGUGCUGGACACGAUCUUCAGUGGAUUAAAUGGAUCAAGUGUGAUGCCCAUGUAUGCCGCUGUCAGGUCUAUGAUGGACUGACUGGAAUACACUCCACGGCCAGUCAGAGAGCACCCGUGUUAACAGCGGAACACUGAGCUAGAAUAUUUAGUGCUCUCAAACCACAGCAUUUUAGCAAGUGUCAACAAACUGGGAAAAAAAAAUCGUCAAAAAUGAUGUAAAAUAUCUACGAUUACACGAUCUGAGUCCCUCAUUUAAAACUCGAGCUGUAUCCAGGUAAUAGAAGGCUACAUUUCCCCAAGAUGAAUGGCAAUUCCUUUACAGGCUUUUCUAUCAAAUCAAUAUUCAGGUUAUUUUGCAAGGCUAUAUACUGUUGGAAUGUUUGCCACAUUAAAAAGUGAGCACGAUAUUUUAAAUUAUUAAGUGACUUUUGUAACUAAACUUACCCUGUCACAUGUAAAUAUGGUUUUAUAAUUAUUACUCUAACAUUUCUGGCUCUGCAGGAUACUUUUUACAACCCAGACGCUCUACUAUAAGAAGUCCUAACUGCUUCAUCGCUGGGUAAAAAAAUAUAGGAAUAGGUCACAGCUUAAAGGCAGAGGCCUAAGCCAGUGUGAUAAUAAACUGCUAACUUUCAGUCGUGUAUAGUUCUAUCGAGCAGAACAGAAAUGCUUCUACCGAACUGCUUCGUUCCUUAUUCACUGAACUUAAGUCCUGCUAUACUGACAGCUUCCUGACACGGACAUGAGUAUUUGAAUGAACAUACUGCAUAGUGUCAAUGCAUUCUAGGAUACAUAGUGAAUACAUAAUUCAAAAAAGCCGCUUUCAUGAGGGCACCCAGGUUAAGAGUUUUCUGUGAUCAGUUUCCAUACUUUCUCAUCUGAAAAUUAAAAAAAAAAAAACAAAAAAAAAAACCUGAAAACUUCUUCACUAUGGAUAAAGCUUAAAUAAUUGUGUUCAAAGUAACAGUUCAUUUUUUUUUUUCUUUCUCCACAACAGAAGGGAGGCAUUUGGCACAGGGGUAUGAACUAAGAUUCAAAGGUAAACACAUCUAAAAGGAACCCUCUCAUCAGGUGAUGAGUGUCUUGGGUCUCAGUGAGUCAUCUGGGUGCUGGGUACACAGAGUCAAUCCUAAGUGGUCUCAGGUCAGUAAAGAAGUCCCAGUAUUUAAGUCGUUAAACGGAAUUGUAGGUAACACAGUAACUGGUAGCACAAAACCGAAGGUGCUUGAUAGUGGCAGGAAGGAUGGAUCCGCACUUGAGUUAAAGCGCUGGCCACGAGAAUCAUGUGAAAGGGCGCUCAGGAUGAGGGAAGGACGGAGGACGAAGAGUGACCUUUGCCACGUCUCUUUAACAAAAUAACUUCGUUUAUCUACUACGUUUUGAAAAAGGCACAGUGUAUGUGCAAUCCGACCCCAGUGCACCCGGCCGCACACUGUGAUGCUCUGCUAUAGGCCGCAUCAUGUUUUGAAGGAUCCUUCAGCCAUUUUGUCUGUGUCUUGAGAAAGGAUCAGAGGUUGACACCAGGAUGUCUUCCUCAAUUGCUCUCCACUGUACCUUUUGAGACAGGGUCCCUCACUAAACCAGGAGCGCCACCCCUUUUCUAGCUAGAUGGACUGGCUGGCCAAUGAGCCUCUAAGCUGUCUUUUUGUAUCGGUAACCCUGGGGACCUAAACUCAGUCACCAUGCUUGGACUGCCAGCAAUAUUAGCUACCAGGGGAGAGUUAUUUACUUACUGUUUUAUAUUAGAUAUUUUCUUUAUUUGCAUUUCAAAUGUUAUCCCCUUUCCAGGUUUCCCCUCCACAAACCCCCUAUCACAUCCCCCAUCUCCCUGCUUCUAUGAGGGCGUUCCUCCUUCCCCCAGCUCCCCCUCCCGCCUCCCUGCCCUGGCAUCUCCUACACUGGGGCACCGGCUUCACAGGGCCAAGGGCCUCUCCUCCCAUUGAUUACUUUCUUUUUUUUUAAACACACAUUUUAAAGCAGCUUCCUCAAAAGGCGAAAACUCCCAGUUUAGAUGCAUAAAAUGUCUAUUAUGUCCAAAGCCGCAGUUUCUUUUGUGGCAUUUUGAAAUGUUCUUCCACUUGGGAUCUUUCUACUUUCUUGAGUGGAUUCCCAAAUGAAGUUAAGAAAAAAAGAGAAGAAACAUGAACAGCUGUAAUGUAAUUUCUUAAUGUAAUUCAGACACCUGCAUACUACAGCUAAAGUCCAGAUAGAAACCAAAAACUGGGUUUUUACCCAGAUUCUGUUCUAUUUCUAUUUAGAAUCCUUCAAAAUGGAUUCAGCAAAGGUAAAAGAAAGCAGAAAUCACUGACCAUAUGAACCUACCAUAAAAAAAAAAACAAAACAAAAACAAGAACAAAAAACUCAUUCAGUAUAAAAAAUUACUACAUAGUCAAUAUACAACUGCAAACCUUAAAAUACCACAAGAAACAAAUCGCACAAGGACCUCUGUUACAUGCCAAGAACAUUCUGGAACUGGAGCACUUUUUCUACAUAGAUGAUGAUAAGUGAACCAUGCUUAAGACACAAGAGCAUUAUGAAAACUUACUGACAUUGCAUGGAUGGAUGGUCCUAUCAUAGAUAAUCACAGGCUGUGUGAAAGUUUGUCGUUUGUUGCUAGGUCCUAAAAAUGUCUUAAAUGGAGAACAAAUUAUCUCAAAGACUAAUUCUAUAAUGAACUACUUACACUUACUUUGAACUUUGAUAUUCUAAAGCUCAAUUUGACUGAAGAAUAUUUAUUCUUCCAAAUAAAUAUAGUAAAUAAUACAGUAGCUUUAUUUUUUUUUAAUCUAAAAACAAUGUUUGUUUAAAAUCACUCCUGGCAUUUAAAGACAUAAAUGUGAGCCUACUUUAACAUUGUUUCUUUUUAAAAUGUUCACAGCAAAAAAGCUUAAACUAUACCAUAUACUUGAUUUUCGCCUUCAGGUGUUAUCAUGGUCAACCUUCACAGCCUAGUUCCAGUUCUGUACCUCAGACCGUUGUGUAAUUUUCCAGCACGCUUGUUUAUAUGGUGGAUUACUUAUUGAUUUUCAUAUACUGGACCAUUCCUGUAUCUCUGAAAUGAAGGAAAACAAUCACCAAAUGCAUGCCUGGUGUCUGCGUCAAAUGGGAGCCCCAGGUGCCCUGGAACUGGCGUUGGACUAUUGUGAAAGGCCGUGUUGGGGUUGGUAACUGAAUUCUUACUCUGGAAGAACAGCAAGAGCAUUAGCUGAGUCAUCUCUCCACUUUAAACACUGUAAAUUCUAGGAAGCCUCCCUUCCUUUCGUAGUGCCUCAUGGCUUCCUUCACUCGACAGAUUCCGUCUCAGUAGAAAGAUCUGAACCUUUUGCUAAAUGUGGCUUAUUUUGACCUUUUGAAUAUUCAUCCGCAGAAUGUACAAAAAUAAAACUACUGCUGACCUGUG
Molecule: non-coding RNA, 14343 nt
Organism: Rattus norvegicus (Norway rat)
Lineage: Eukaryota; Metazoa; Chordata; Mammalia; Rodentia; Muridae
Source: RefSeq, a predicted model, not a curated record